AAAAAUGACUUUAUGUCAUUUGGUCUCUCCCUAUGAUGUGAGUGCUAAACACAGCAGAGGUAUACGGAAGAGUUAAAACUCUGAAUGAGUCCGAGUCUAUGACAAGGUGCUGUGCUGCGAGCACCCUUGGAGGAUUCACCUAUGUGAGUGUGACUGUAUGGCCGCAGUCUAUAGGGAUAAGGGUUUAACUCCUAGAGCGC
RNAcentral lists this long non-coding RNA (200 nucleotides) under Phoenix dactylifera (date palm). RNAcentral's name for it is "long non-coding RNA (PDAC_LNC017639)". The record is from RNAcentral. Lineage: Eukaryota; Viridiplantae; Streptophyta; Magnoliopsida; Arecales; Arecaceae.